This 263-nucleotide ribosomal RNA is filed under the name uncultured Glomus. Its description in RNAcentral is "partial 18S ribosomal RNA". It matches the Rfam family "Eukaryotic small subunit ribosomal RNA", at positions 624 to 886 of the family's 1831-position model. The record is from RNAcentral. Lineage: Eukaryota; Fungi; Glomeromycota; Glomeromycetes; Glomerales; Glomeraceae.
AAGCUCGUAGUUGAAUUUCGGGGUUAGUAGGUUGGUCAUGCCUCUGGUAUGUACUGGUCUCACUGAUUCCUCCUUCCUUAUGAACCGUAAUGCCAUUAAUUUGGUGUUGCGGGGGAAUUUGGACUGUUACUUUGAAAAAAUUAGAGUGUUUAAAAGCAAGCUAACGCUUGAAUACAUUAGCAUGGAAUAAUGAAAUAGGACGUUCGAUCUUAGUUUUGUUUGGUUUCUUAGGAUUGACGUAAUGAUUAAUAGGGAUAGUUGGG